Molecule: ribosomal RNA, 307 nt
Filed under: Verrucaria aethiobola
Lineage: Eukaryota; Fungi; Ascomycota; Eurotiomycetes; Verrucariales; Verrucariaceae
Description: eukaryotic LSU rRNA
Rfam family: Eukaryotic large subunit ribosomal RNA
Source: RNAcentral
GGUUGACCUCGGAUCAGGUAGGGAUACCCGCUGAACUUAAGCAUAUCAAUAAGCGGAGGAAAAGAAACCAACAGGGAUUGCCUCAGUAACGGCGAGUGAAGCGGCAACAGCUCAAAUUUGAAAUCUGGCUCCUUGGGGGGUCCGAGUUGUAAUUUGUAGAGGAUGCUUCGGGCAAGGCUGCGGUCUAAUUUGCUUGGAACAGCGAGUCACAGAGGGUGAGAGUCCCGUCUAGGACCGUGCGCCGCGUCCAGGUGAAGCUCCUUCGACGAGUCGAGUUGUUUGGGAUGCAGCUCUAAAUGGGUGGUAA